Molecule: ribosomal RNA, 497 nt
Filed under: uncultured bacterium
Lineage: Bacteria
Description: partial 16S ribosomal RNA
Rfam family: Bacterial small subunit ribosomal RNA
Source: RNAcentral
GAUGAACGCUGGCGGCGUGCCUAAUACAUGCAAGUCGAGCGAACAGAUAAGGAGCUUGCUCCUUUGACGUUAGCGGCGGACGGGUGAGUAACACGUGGGUAACCUACCUAUAAGACUGGAAUAACUCCGGGAAACCGGGGCUAAUGCCGGAUAACAUUUAGAACCGCAUGGUUCUAAAGUGAAAGAUGGUUUUGCUAUCACUUAUAGAUGGACCCGCUCCGUAUUAGCUAGUUGGUAAGGUAACGGCUUACCAAGGCAACGAUACGUAGCCGACCUGAGAGGGCGAUCGGCCACACUGGAACUGAGACACGGUCCAGACUCCUACGGGAGGCAGCAGUAGGGAAUCUUCCGAAAUGGGCGAAAGCCUGACGGAGCAACGCCGCGUGAGUGAUGAAGGUCUUCGGAUCGUAAAACUCUGUUAUUAGGGAAGAACAAAUGUGUAAGUAACUGUGCACGUCUUGACGGUACCUAAUCAGAAAGCCACGGCUAACUACGUG